Molecule: ribosomal RNA, 564 nt
Filed under: uncultured bacterium
Lineage: Bacteria
Description: bacterial SSU rRNA
Rfam family: Bacterial small subunit ribosomal RNA
Source: RNAcentral
GAAACCGAGGGUAAUACCGCAUGUGUCCCGACUCACGCAAGAGUGUCGGGGGAAAGGCGGGGAUCCUUCGGGACCUGUCGCUUCUGGAUGGGCCCGCGUCCGAUUAGCUUGUUGGUGGGGUAAUGGCCUACCAAGGCAUCGAUCGGUAGCCGGCCUGAGAGGGUGAACGGCCACAUUGGGACUGAGACACGGCCCAGACUCCUACGGGAGGCAGCAGUGGGGAAUUUUGGGCAAUGGGGGAAACCCUGACCCAGCGACGCCGCGUGGGGGAUGAAGGCCUUCGGGUUGUAAACCCCUGUCAGGUGGGAAGAAGGCGGUGCCGGUUAAUACCCGGCUCCGUUUGACGGUACCGCCAAAGGAAGCCCCGGCUAACUCCGUGCCAGCAGCCGCGGUAAUACGGAGGGGGCGAGCGUUAUUCGGAUUUACUGGGCGUAAAGCGCACGUAGGCGGCUAGGUAUGUCAAAGGUGAAAGCCCUCGGCUCAACCGAGGAACUGCCUUUGAAACUGCUUGGCUUGAGUCCGGGAGAGGGGGGCGGAAUUCCCAGUGUAGCGGUGAAAUGCGUA